GACGAACGCUGGCGGCGUGCUUAACACAUGCAAGUCGAACGGAAAGGCCCCCUUGUGGGGUACUCGUGGGGUGAACGGGUGAGGAACACGAGAGUAAUCUACUGUUGUCUACGGGGGAAUAACUGGAAAAAGGGGCGAAUACUGGAGAGGAGGUCCUGCUGCUGGGUGGGGGGGGGAGAGAUUCGUCGGCGGUUGGGGAUGGACUCGCGGCUUAUCAGCUUGUUGGUGGGGUAGUGGCUUACCAAGGCUUUGACGGGUAGCCGGCCUGAGAGGGUGACCGGCCACAUUGGGACUGAGAUACGGCCCAGACUCCUACGGGAGGCAGCAGUGGGGAAUAUUGCACAAUGGGCGGAAGCCUGAUGCAGCAACGCCGCGUGCGGGAUGACGGCCUUCGGGUUGUAAACCGCUUUCGCCUGUGACGAAGCGUGAGUGACGGUAAUGGGUAAAGAAGCACCGGCUAACUACGUG
RNAcentral lists this ribosomal RNA (468 nucleotides) under uncultured bacterium. Its description in RNAcentral is "partial 16S ribosomal RNA". It matches the Rfam family "Bacterial small subunit ribosomal RNA", at positions 28 to 507 of the family's 1533-position model. The record is from RNAcentral.